CUUCUUCGGAGUGAUUAAAGUGGCGCACGGGUGAGUAACGCGUAGACAAUCUGCCCUUCAGUCCGGGACAACUUUCCGAAAGGGGAGCUAAUACCGGAUAACAAUGUUUAACAUAAGUUGAAUAUUUGAAAGCUCCGGCGCUGAUGGAUGAGUCUGCGUCCCAUUAGCUUGUUGGUGCGGUAGCGGCGCACCAAGGCCACGAUGGGUAGCGGGUUUGAGAGGACGAUCCGCCACACUGGAACUGAGACACGGUCCAGACUCCUACGGGAGGCAGCAGUGGGGAAUAUUGCACAAUGGAGGAAACUCUGAUGCAGCAAUGCCGCGUGAGUGAAGAAGGCCCUUGGGUCGUAAAGCUCUUUUAUGGGGGAAGAUGAUGACGGUACCCCAAGAAUAAGCACCGGCUAACUACGUGCCAGCAGCCGCGGUAAUACGUAGGGUGCGAGCGUUGUUCGGAAUUACUGGGCGUAAAGGGCGCGCAGGCGGAGGUGCAAGUCGGAGGUGAAAGCCCGGGGCUCAACCCCGGAGGGUCUUUCGAAACUGCAUCUCUAGAGAGGGUCAGGGGCCGGCAGAAUUCCUGGUGUAGAGGUGAAAUUCGUAGAUAUCGGAGGAAUACCGGUGGCGAAAGCGGGCCGGCUGGGGCCACUCUGACGCUGAGGCGCGAAAGCGUGGG
RNAcentral lists this ribosomal RNA (670 nucleotides) under uncultured delta proteobacterium. Its description in RNAcentral is "bacterial SSU rRNA". It matches the Rfam family "Bacterial small subunit ribosomal RNA", at positions 75 to 765 of the family's 1533-position model. Lineage: Bacteria; Deltaproteobacteria. The record is from RNAcentral.